AUUGAACGCUGGCGGCAGGCCUAACACAUGCAAGUCGAACGAGUGGCGGACGGGUGAGUAAUGUCUGGGAAACUGCCUGAUGGAGGGGGAUAACUACUGGAAACGGUAGCUAAUACAGCAUACCAUCGGAUGUGCCCAGAUGGGAUUAGCUAGUAGGUGGGGUAAAGGCUCACCUAGGCGACGAUCCCUAGCUGGUCUGAGAGGAUGACCAGCCACCCUGGAACUGUGACCCGGUCCAGACUCCUACGUGAGGCAGCAGUGGGGAAUAUUGCACAAUGGGCGCAUGCCUGCUGCACCCAUGCCGCGUUUAUGAAGAAGGCCUUCGGGUUGUAAAGUACUUUCAGCGGGGAGGCGUUACCCGCCGAAGAAGCACCGGCUACCUCCGUGCCAGCCGCCGCGGUAAUA
This 405-nucleotide ribosomal RNA is filed under the name uncultured bacterium. RNAcentral's name for it is "partial 16S ribosomal RNA". It matches the Rfam family "Bacterial small subunit ribosomal RNA", at positions 30 to 525 of the family's 1533-position model. The record is from RNAcentral.